CCUCUCCAGUUUGGGCAAAACAGCUCAAGAGAUAAUUCUCAUCCAUAUAAUACUGCAAAUCUCCGAUCCACAAAGUCCGAACCUCAUCUGCGUUAGCCGGUUGACCAGCUGGCUGUUGUUGAGCAGGUACCCCAGCCGAACCUUGUUGUGGGGGCCACAUAGGUGGAGGAUGACUCUGAGGCGGCUGCAUCAUGUUCAUCAUCAUGUAAGGUUGUUGUGCCUGAGGAACCGGAGCCGGAGGUGGUUGCUGAUAUUGGUACUGUUGGGUCUGUGGAGCCAUUGGUGGUGGUACCAUAGCUUGUGCUGGUUGUUGCAUCAUCUUCAAUUUGGGGAUAUUUUU
RNAcentral lists this long non-coding RNA (340 nucleotides) under Gossypium barbadense (sea-island cotton). RNAcentral describes it as "long non-coding RNA (GBAR_LNC008683)". The record is from RNAcentral. Lineage: Eukaryota; Viridiplantae; Streptophyta; Magnoliopsida; Malvales; Malvaceae.